This is a long non-coding RNA of Mytilus trossulus (common blue mussel), 611 nucleotides long. RefSeq lists it as uncharacterized. The record is from RefSeq and is a predicted model, not a curated record. NCBI's taxonomy places the organism in Eukaryota, Metazoa, Mollusca, Bivalvia, Mytilida, Mytilidae. The transcript has 3 exons.
AAAUCAUUUUAUUCUAAACAUUAAAAAAGGAAGUAUUGAGUCUUAUUUUGUUCAAUUGAUUUAAUAACUAUUUUAUUCCAGAUUUCAGUAGGUUGAUUAAGUGAAACUACUAAAUUAGUUGAAAAAAAUUAAAUUCCACCAUUUUUCUGCUGAUUUUAUGUUUCCAUGGCAAUAAAUGUAUACAUGAAUUGUUAUCUAAUAUCUAUUUCAGUAGAUACCUGGCAAUAUAUCACUGAGAAUUGAUGUUUGUUCCUCCUGAUUGCUGCAGCUUUCCUGGUCAUAAGGAAUUAACGCAGGUUCUUCAACUUCCUGUUCUUUAUCUGGAGGGGAAAAAAACAACUUAAAACUGCGGACAUAUGUAGCGAAUAUUAUUGAUGUGACAUCAAGAAUGCAGAAUUUUGAUAAAAAGGAAUAAUCAAACAAUUAAUGUGACGUUGAACGGUAAUUUGACAGUGGAGGACCCUCCAGUCUGAAGUUUGGUUCAUCAAUGCUGUCGUGGAAUACAACAUUUUCACCAUCAUAAUGCCACCAGAUCUGAUCACCAGGGAUAAUGAAAUCUGCUAUUCUUGCCAAAUGAGAUUGGACAACUGAUGAUUUUCCUGAUAGCAGUU